GUACGCCGACAUGGCUCAUGUGCUGGACUCGUUCUUUAGAUUUAACAUCUUAUAUACACACAUAUUAUGCAAA
Molecule: long non-coding RNA, 73 nt
Organism: Maniola jurtina (meadow brown)
Lineage: Eukaryota; Metazoa; Arthropoda; Insecta; Lepidoptera; Nymphalidae
Exons: 3
Source: RefSeq, a predicted model, not a curated record